Molecule: unclassified non-coding RNA, 233 nt
Filed under: plant metagenome
Description: partial contains small subunit ribosomal RNA, internal transcribed spacer 1, and 5.8S ribosomal RNA
Source: RNAcentral
UUUCCGUAGGUGAACCUGCGGAAGGAUCAUUACUGAGUGAGGGCCCUCAGGGUCCAACCUCCCACCCUUGUUUAUUAUACCUUGUUGCUUCGGUGAGCCCGCCUCACGGCCGCCGGAUUGCAUCUGCCCCCGGGCCCGCGCACACCAAAGACACCUAGAACUCUGUAUGAAGAUUGCAGUCUGAGCAAAAACUAAAUAAGUUAAAACUUUCAACAACGGAUCUCUUGGUUCCG